CAGCAGCCACGGGAAUACGUAGGUGGCAAGCGUUGUCCGGAAUUAUUGGGCGUAAAGCGCGCGCAGGUGGUUUAAUAAGUCUGAUGUGAAAGCCCACGGCUCAACCGUGGAGGGUCAUUGGAAACUGUUAAACUUGAGUGCAGGAGAGAAAAGUGGAAUUCCUAGUGUAGCGGUGAAAUGCGUAGAGAUUAGGAGGAACACCAGUGGCGAAGGCGGCUUUUUGGCCUGUAACUGACACUGAGGCGCGAAAGCGUGGGGAGCAAACAGGAUUAGAUACCCCCGUAGUCCCUGUCUCUUAUAC
This 301-nucleotide ribosomal RNA is filed under the name uncultured bacterium. Its description in RNAcentral is "partial 16S ribosomal RNA". It matches the Rfam family "Bacterial small subunit ribosomal RNA", at positions 509 to 807 of the family's 1533-position model. The record is from RNAcentral.